RNAcentral lists this long non-coding RNA (861 nucleotides) under Numida meleagris (helmeted guineafowl). RNAcentral's name for it is "lncRNA (ENSNMEG00000008749.1)". The record is from RNAcentral. Lineage: Eukaryota; Metazoa; Chordata; Aves; Galliformes; Numididae.
AGAAGCUUCUCCGGAAGCACUUGAACACUAUGCUUUCCUUCCUAACUGAAUGCUUCUACCUGUCCUGCAAUCUGCUGUGCAGUUAUAUGUCCUUUUCUUUGCAGAUGACCUGGCAGGAAGGGGAUGUGGGAAUUCCCUCUGGAGAUAUAGCUGGAUAGUUUCUACAUGCGUUUGACAGCUGGCAUCCUAAAUCUGAAGGAAGAAUGAAGUAAAACUGUAUUUUUCAUAUUCAAGUCCUAAAAGAACUUGAGGAUCUUUUUAUUCCUUUCCAUAUUACUGAAGACUGUGAAGCUCCAGAACAAGCAGGAAUUUCUAGCAGAAAUUGUGACUGCUUUUACUUUGCUGAAGGUUUCCCAUCAGCAUCCUGGUUGCCUUAUAACAUGAUGGAAGGAGACUCUUGUGUCAAGGGAGAAAGAAGAUUCGCAAGUGCCCCUCAGAGGCAGAACCACAUGGGACCAAGUGGAAAAAUUCAAGAAAGCUAGCAAGACCUGUUACUUGUAGGAUGCAUUCAGGAUAGACACAAGUAGCCUAAAAUGCAGCUUGUUCUGAGGUAAGCAUAUUCUUUGCUUUUACAGUGCAGUUUAUAAGUAAAGUAAUGUGAAAAAUAGGAUAGCCAGUGAUGUGAAUAUAUGUCUUUGAUUCGCUGGUUUUACUGUUGCAUUAUUUAGUCUUUGGGGAUUUUUGGCAGGAGAGGAUGGGGUUGGGAGGGAAGUAGAGAGGGACUGUUUACUUCUUAACAGUCCUAAGAUGUAUGUUGUCUUCUUCUCUUUUUCUGUCCAAAUAAUGUUGUUGGUAUGACGAGGGAGACAAGCUUAGAGUUACUUUAAUAAAAGAAGAUAAGAACAAAGACCGUAAUGUACA